RNAcentral lists this unclassified non-coding RNA (630 nucleotides) under Bombus terrestris (buff-tailed bumblebee). RNAcentral's name for it is "misc RNA ENSBTSG00005036156.1". The record is from RNAcentral. Lineage: Eukaryota; Metazoa; Arthropoda; Insecta; Hymenoptera; Apidae.
ACGCCCAUCUCAUCGUCGUCGUCGUCUUCUAAAACAUCGUCGUCAUUGUCGUCUUCUUCUCGUGCACCGUGUUCCCGAUCUAAACGUACCGUAGCCAGCAAUCGCGUUACCAGCUCGCGCUUUCUACCCGUUAAUCUCAGCCGUCGUUUUCUCAGCUCGUCUUUUAACUCAGGUAUUCGCAUCUGAGCCACCUGCUCGUCAGUCAAAUCUGCUUCUCCUGCAAUGUAGUUACUCAUCGUUCCGAAAUAUCACUUGUCACUCAGCGCUCUAGAUCCCGGCUCGAGCCCCCAAAAUUAUGUAACGCGGCUUUCGACUUCCCGAUUCAUACUCUUCGGCUUCUACACUCGCUCGCUCUCGCUUCUCAAUUCACACUCUGCACAUCUUUUGCAUCCGUCCUCUCCGGCUUCUCAACUAAUACUGCCUUUAGCGUCUCUUUUGUCUUUUCUCGUCGUUCGAGACACGUGUCCCGAAACGCCCGUGGCCAGGGUCACGCGGGCCCUUUCCACGAAACUAUCCACUUAAAAAGGACCGACGACACAUUGAUGUACCCGACGAUGCCGCGGCUCUCGCGACAUUGUUUACGAUUCGGCAGAUAUCUUAGGCCUCUUGUCCACGAUACUACAUAUAUAA